GAUGAACGCUGGCGGCGUGCCUAAUACAUGCAAGUCGAGCGAACAGACGAGGAGCUUGCUCCUCUGAUGUUAGCGGCGGACGGGUGGGUAACACGUGGAUAACCUACCUAUAAGACUGGGAUAACUUCGGGAAACCGGAGCUAAUACCGGAUAAUAUAUUGAACCGCAUGGUUCAAUAGUGAAAGACGGUUUUGCUGUCACUUAUAGAUGGAUCCGCGCCGCAUUAGCUAGUUGGUAAGGUAACGGCUUACCAAGGCAACGAUGCGUAGCCGACCUGAGAGGGUGAUCGGCCACACUGGAACUGAGACACGGUCCAGACUCCUACGGGAGGCAGCAGUAGGGAAUCUUCCGCAAUGGGCGAAAGCCUGACGGAGCAACGCCGCGUGAGUGAUGAAGGUCUUCGGAUCGUAAAACUCUGUUAUUAGGGAAGAACAAAUGUGUAAGUAACUAUGCACGUCUUGACGGUACCUAAUCAGAAAGCCACGGCUAACUACGUG
This 497-nucleotide ribosomal RNA is filed under the name uncultured bacterium. RNAcentral describes it as "partial 16S ribosomal RNA". It matches the Rfam family "Bacterial small subunit ribosomal RNA", at positions 28 to 507 of the family's 1533-position model. The record is from RNAcentral.